Molecule: ribosomal RNA, 354 nt
Filed under: bacterium LimB-1-J-28
Lineage: Bacteria
Description: bacterial SSU rRNA
Rfam family: Bacterial small subunit ribosomal RNA
Source: RNAcentral
GGCCUGAGAGGGUGACCGGCCACACUGGGACUGAGACACGGCCCAGACUCCUACGGGAGGCAGCAGUGGGGAAUAUUGCACAAUGGGCGCAAGCCUGAUGCAGCGACGCCGCGUGAGGGAUGACGGCCUUCGGGUUGUAAACCUCUUUCAGCAGGGAAGAAGCGAAAGUGACGGUACCUGCAGAAGAAGCGCCGGCUAACUACGUGCCAGCAGCCGCGGUAAUACGUAGGGCGCGAGCGUUGUCCGGAAUUAUUGGGCGUAAAGAGCUUGUAGGCGGUUUGUUGCGUCUGCUGUGAAAGACCGGGGCUUAACCCCGGUAUUGCAGUGGGUACGGGCAGACUAGAGUGCAGUAGG